GAAACAGUGUAGCUCAACAUGGGAGAGCACCGAGACUAAAUCUCUCGGGGUUGCGAGUUCAAAUCUCGUCCUGUUUCU
This 78-nucleotide transfer RNA is filed under the name Caudoviricetes sp. Its description in RNAcentral is "tRNA-Phe". It matches the Rfam family "tRNA". From Rfam's summary of the family: Transfer RNA (tRNA) molecules are approximately 80 nucleotides in length. Lineage: Duplodnaviria; Heunggongvirae; Uroviricota; Caudoviricetes. The record is from RNAcentral.